UGUGUGUGUGUGUGUGUGUGUGUGUGUGUGUGUGUGUGUGUGUGUGUGUGUGUGAGAGAGAAUGUGUGUGUGUGUGUGUGUGUGUGUGUGUGUGUGUGUGUGUGUGUGUGUGUGUGUGUGUGUGUGUGUGUGUGUGUGUGUGUGUGUGUGUGUGUGCGAAGGGUUAAAUCUGAUAUACGCGCCGAGUCGGCGUUCAAACGGAUAUUUUUACACCUCUGGACGUUAAACGUUUCAUCUCGACACCUUUUCCUGUUUGUGACGCUGCUCGACUUCCUCGUAAUUACACGUAGGUGAAGAGGAGAGGAAAUUCCCAACAGACAUGAAACACCGCGGUUUUUCAUUAUGAAUCUGAGCCUGAAACACUCCCAGCUUCAUGUUUGAGUUUUCACCACAAACAUUUUUCACCGUUUUCUGACUUUUUACAGAUGGUGAGAGUUUGUUGAAGGCAGCAGACAGAAGGAGGCGAGCUGCAGGAAUCUGGGGAUUUCCCGUUUUCUGGGGUUUGGUUGGAACAUGUGGGAGCGUCAAGACUCCAAACUAAACAUCAACAGAAACAACAUGACGUGAAAUCUAAGCUCCUGUAUA
Molecule: long non-coding RNA, 585 nt
Organism: Scomber scombrus (Atlantic mackerel)
Lineage: Eukaryota; Metazoa; Chordata; Actinopteri; Scombriformes; Scombridae
Exons: 3
Source: RefSeq, a predicted model, not a curated record